Molecule: unclassified non-coding RNA, 1503 nt
Filed under: Hevea brasiliensis (rubber tree)
Lineage: Eukaryota; Viridiplantae; Streptophyta; Magnoliopsida; Malpighiales; Euphorbiaceae
Source: RNAcentral
GGCCCAUAGGUUGGGUCGUGACAAUCAGCUCCCAUAUACAUAUAUUGGUUAAUAUGACAUACGAAUGUGUGAGUGUUUCAAAUUACUCUUUAUGCGAAUAUUGUUUGAAUGGGAUGAAUUUGUUGAUUUGUACUGCAUUUCAUUCAUAGGGAUAUAUUAGAUAGUUAUAGAAAUUGUAUUUAAAAUCAAUAUCUUACUCUAUGAGUCGAACGCUCACUCCUGUUUACCAAUUUUUUCCAAGUACAAGAGAGCUUUACCUAUGAUUGACCUGUUCUCUUCCUCGCAGGUCUUUUUAUGCCUGUUCUUGUAAUUUAUAUUGAUAGUUGAGAUCUAGAACUCUACAUGUGUUAGGAGAUGCUUAAUUUGAUUUGGGAUUGUAAAGAUUAUGUAUUUUGGAAAUUGUAAACUUCAUAUGAUGCAUGUAUGGUUGAAUGGGUUGAGCUUAAGGUUUGGAUGAGGGAGCUUGUAACACCCCUCACCCGUCUACAGAAUAACCGAGCAAGGCGUGCUACACGGCGUGCCGGAGCACCUGAUUUUAUCUGAUUUCAUUACAGUUCUUGAUUUACUUGUUCAAAAACUUUAUCUGAGGUUUAGGCUAUUUUUACUGUUUAUCAAAAUCUGACUAAUUUGGAAAUUUCAAAAAUUUUAAUGAUAAUCCAGCAGAGUGCUGGCAGUAAUUUGGACUAACAGUUCUUCUGAACCUGCCAAAGACAAUUCACAACAUAUUCAAAUUCAUAGCUCAAUUUAUCUCAAUAAUAUCUCAUCAGUUUCUUAAAAUUUCUUAAACUCAAUCUUAUUCAAAAUCAUUAUGAUUAGACAAUCAAUUUAGACAUUAGAAUUCUUACAUUUCAUUAACUUAUAUAAUUUUCCAAUUAAGUACAUAAAUUUGUCGAGUACAGGAUAUACAAAUGAAAUUACAAUAUAUUUAGAAUGAACAAAACACAUAACAUGUAUAAUUUUGAGCUCUAUCUACAUGCAUUGCUGAGGAGGUGACAACCUUUGACACUCUGCAGAUCUGGACUCUCAAAAUUCCCAGUCAAACAUCCAUUGGGUUCUAGCUUCAGUACAGUUUCCUCUAGUGGCACUGAAGGGUGAUACAAUGCUUCCGUUAUUGAAUGCUUCCUGCAUGAUUGAAAUGCCUUCUUCAGAGAGAGAGGCGUUGUACUUCCUUUAUUGAAUGCUUCAUUGAUGACUGAAAUGCCGACUUCUUCAUCGACAGGGACGUUGUAGCCACCAGCAAGCCCCAGACAUCCAAAGCCAAAUUUGGACAGCCGAAAGUUGAAAAGAAAUAUUAGAAAGUUCAAGGAAUAAGAUCUCAAUGCAUUGUAUCAACUUCCUCUUUCCGCGGGUCAAAUAAUACUAAGGAUUUGUGAGUAGAUAAACCAAGGAGAGGCGACUUGCUACUCUACAAAUGAAAAUAUAAAAUCAAAUUCUGUUCUGCCACAUUUCCAUUAGCAAAAUAACACAUUUAACAACAAUAAAUAUAUAUAAUUUGGGAUAAAU